RNAcentral lists this ribosomal RNA (642 nucleotides) under uncultured bacterium. RNAcentral describes it as "bacterial SSU rRNA". It matches the Rfam family "Bacterial small subunit ribosomal RNA", at positions 57 to 699 of the family's 1533-position model. The record is from RNAcentral.
GCAGUCGACGGACUUCUUUAAGGAUUUCUUCGGAAUGAAUUUGAUUAAGUUUAGUGGCGGACGGGUGAGUAACGCGUGAGUAACCUGCCUCUAAGAGGGGAAUAACAUUCUGAAAAGAAUGCUAAUACCGCAUAACAUAUAUUUAUCGCAUGGUAGAUAUAUCAAAGAUUUAUCGCUUAGAGAUGGACUCGCGUCCGAUUAGUUAGUUGGUGAGGUAACGGCUCACCAAGACCGCGAUCGGUAGCCGGACUGAGAGGUUGAACGGCCACAUUGGGACUGAGACACGGCCCAGACUCCUACGGGAGGCAGCAGUGGGGGAUAUUGCGCAAUGGGGGAAACCCUGACGCAGCAACGCCGCGUGAAGGAUGAAGGUCUUCGGAUUGUAAACUUCUUUUAUUAAGGACGAAGAAAGUGACGGUACUUAAUGAAUAAGCUCCGGCUAACUACGUGCCAGCAGCCGCGGUAAUACGUAGGGAGCAAGCGUUGUCCGGAUUUACUGGGUGUAAAGGGUGCGUAGGCGGCUUUGCAAGUCAGAUGCGAAAUCUAUGGGCUCAACCCAUAGCCUGCAUUUGAAACUGCAGAGCUUGAGUGAAGUAGAGGCAGGCGGAAUUCCCCGUGUAGCGGUGAAAUGCGUAGAGAUGG